RNAcentral lists this transfer RNA (94 nucleotides) under Pseudomonas fluorescens. Its description in RNAcentral is "tRNA-Cys". The record is from RNAcentral. Lineage: Bacteria; Pseudomonadati; Pseudomonadota; Gammaproteobacteria; Pseudomonadales; Pseudomonadaceae.
GCGCGGUGCUGGCCGAUUCGGUGUGGUCCAGGUUGCAAUACUGGUAGCUCUGGCUGGCGGCGGGCGCGGCCGUUUCGUGAGCGGGCGCCGCGCA